UCCUUAAAAAGUCUUAAAUUGCUUUUCCUAAAAAUAAGGCCUUAAAAAGUCUUAAAAAGUCUUAAAUUCAGAUUGGAUUGGUCUUAAAUUUUUUGGGUGUCAUGUCAUUACGAAUAUGAGUCAAUCUGUUCCGCCAGGUCCGUAUUUUGCUCCGGUCGCUCUGCGGUGUCUCUGGUGUCACCGGGGCCACGCCCCUUCUCUUAAAGGGGCCCCGCGUAUUCGGUCCCAUCAAUCCCCUACAACGUGAAGCAUCGGCUAGUUUAGAAAACAUGUGGGGGAUGCAAGUUCAACAACGGCUUGAAAAGAACGAGUGUUUCUGGUCACGGUGGGUGAAAUGCUUCUGAAGCUGCGUUAUGUGUCGGGAGACUUUCCAGCGGUGGAAUCUCACGAGCAGAGCAAGAAGCACAGAGACUAGCGAAGGCCGCCAGCAGCCUGCGGGGCUAGCUCCUGCUCUGCCGCGAGCUCCUGCUCCGCCGCUCGCAACGACGUCAACGCUACAACGAUGGAGGUCACCGGAGGAAAUCCAGCGCCGUGAAACGAAGAGCUCAUCACCAAAGUCCAACAGGGCGCCGUGUUCUUCAUUCUGUUCCACGAGACUCUGGACCAGACCACCGCGAGCAGACAGCUGGACUUCAUGUUCGCUCUUGGUGAAAUGACCACGUCCCGUCAGGAUCCUGUGGAGCUCAUGGGCCAUGACACCAGGACCUACUUCAGCACCUCAAAGAGAAUGGACCAAAUGUCAACUGGAAGUUUUUAUAUUAAUACAGUUUGAAAAGGAUUGUUUUCCUAGUAUAUUCACAAAAGCUCAGGAGUAGACGUAUGAACCUGUGACAAACAUCCAUCACAUAGAGACAUAAGAACACACACACACAUACAUUCUAUUAUGUAAAUGAAUUUGCAUUUUAAAAGCAGCUGGAAUUGUUAUUUGUUUUAUAGAUUGUUUUUGUUCAAAAGGAACUAUGUUGUCUGUAUUUUUUAAAUAUAUUUACUUGAUAUAAGCAUUUGUUCAUGGGACUUAAAUGUUCUGAAAAUGUAUUAAUAAAUAUAAUUUACAACAGCAA
Long non-coding RNA from Pseudoliparis swirei, 1061 nucleotides. RefSeq lists it as uncharacterized. The transcript has 2 exons. NCBI's taxonomy places the organism in Eukaryota, Metazoa, Chordata, Actinopteri, Perciformes, Liparidae. The record is from RefSeq and is a predicted model, not a curated record.